Molecule: long non-coding RNA, 400 nt
Organism: Mastomys coucha (southern multimammate mouse)
Lineage: Eukaryota; Metazoa; Chordata; Mammalia; Rodentia; Muridae
Exons: 3
Source: RefSeq, a predicted model, not a curated record
UCCGACAAGCAUAUCUAGAGUCCACUCUGGAUUACCUGUCUGAGCAUUCUGCAUGGCAAUUUUCCCGCUAAGCUCACACCAUUCAGAAAUCCAUAACAGGGAAACAGAGGAGGAGAGGAUCUGAGCAAGAGCAGAGGUGGAGGACACAAAGAUAGGAGUGUGGACCUCAGGGGAACGUGAAGCAAGUGUGAUUGGGGUACACUGUAUGAAAUUCCCAAAUGAUUAAUAAAAAUAUUAUGCUUGGGAGAAGAAGUUUCUUUUCACAGCAGAAAGCAACUACUACCAAAAACAAAAACAAAUAACUAGUCAAAAUGUGGAGAACAACUGACUACAAGCUGCCUAGCUCCAACUGAUACUCCUACAGCAUAACAUCUACACCUAAGGAUCACAGAACAUUAUG